GGGGAAAUAGAAUCAAGGCUUGCUUUUUUAUGUCUUUGGAUAUGCUUCAUUGUUUAUGCUUCUACAUCAAAUGGUUGCUCUGAGAUCCCAGUGGUAGAGAAUGCAGAAGUUUCUGAAAGCUCAAAAAAACAAACAAUACUGUGAUGGUGACUACAAUUGCGUACAUGGCUGUCUCUCAGAGAAAAAUAAUCUACAAUGUAGCAAUAAUGAAUGGACUAAAUGCUGUGGUGAUAAAUGUUCACGUGGGUAUACAAGACACACACACACACACACACAAUGUAUAAAUCUCUGGACUGCUGUACAAUACUUUUAAAUCUAAUUGUAUGCAUCUGAAGUAACCCGAGUUACUUGUUAUCAAGUAAUAAUCUCCUUGGCCUUCAAAGGCUGAAUUUUCAGAACUAUAUCUUUUGCUUCUGAUUCAUCAUCAGUCAAACGCUGUGAGUCACCUGAAGAUAUUCCAAAUGGUCGUUACAUUAUUGAAAGUGGAAGAAACUUUGUUUUUGGAACAACUAUCAAGUAUAUCUGCAACGAUGGAGGCAACAUGUCCUCUACAGUGGAGCACAACAGUGGAAGACUUAAAAAUUGAGUGACUCCCUGAUAUUGAGGG
This is a long non-coding RNA of Sinocyclocheilus grahami, 607 nucleotides long. RefSeq lists it as uncharacterized. Lineage: Eukaryota; Metazoa; Chordata; Actinopteri; Cypriniformes; Cyprinidae. The record is from RefSeq and is a predicted model, not a curated record. The transcript has 3 exons.